Molecule: ribosomal RNA, 491 nt
Filed under: uncultured bacterium
Lineage: Bacteria
Description: partial 16S ribosomal RNA
Rfam family: Bacterial small subunit ribosomal RNA
Source: RNAcentral
GUGCACGCUGGCGGUAGGCCUAACACAUGCAAGUCGAACGGCAGCACAGUAAGAGCUUGCUCUUACGGGUGGCGAGUGGCGGACGGGUGAGGAAUACAUCGGAAUCUACUUUUUCGUGGGGGAUAACGUAGGGAAACUUACGCUAAUACCGCAUACGACCUACGGGUGAAAGCAGGGGAUCUUCGGACCUUGCGCGAUUGAAUGAGCCGAUGUCGGAUUAGCUAGUUGGCGGGGUAAAGGCCCACCAAGGCGACGAUCCGUAGCUGGUCUGAGAGGAUGAUCAGCCACACUGGAACUGAGACACGGUCCAGACUCCUACGGGAGGCAGCAGUGGGGAAUAUUGGACAAUGGGCGCAAGCCUGGUCCAGCCAUACCGCGUGGGUGAAGAAGGCCUUCGGGUUGUAAAGCCCUUUUGUUGGGAAAGAAAAGCAGCAGGUUAAUACCCCGCUGUUCUGACGGUACCCAAAGAAUAAGCACCGGCUAACUUCGUG